ACGUAGGGGGCAAGCGUUGUCCGGAAUUAUUGGGCGUAAAGGGCGCGCAGGCGGCCUGUUAAGUCUGGUGUGAAAGACCACGGCUCAACCGCGGGGUUGCAUCAGAAACUGGCGGGCUUGAGUGCAGGAGAGGAAAGUGGAAUUCCCGGUGUAGCGGUGGAAUGCGUAGAGAUCGGGAGGAACACCAGUGGCGAAGGCGGCUCUCUGGCCUGCAACUGACGCUGAGGCGCGAAAGCGUGGGUAGCGAACAGGA
This 253-nucleotide ribosomal RNA is filed under the name uncultured prokaryote. RNAcentral's name for it is "partial 16S ribosomal RNA". It matches the Rfam family "Bacterial small subunit ribosomal RNA", at positions 525 to 777 of the family's 1533-position model. The record is from RNAcentral.